RNAcentral lists this ribosomal RNA (397 nucleotides) under uncultured bacterium. RNAcentral describes it as "partial 16S ribosomal RNA". It matches the Rfam family "Bacterial small subunit ribosomal RNA", at positions 523 to 918 of the family's 1533-position model. The record is from RNAcentral.
AUACGUAGGGGGCGAGCGUUGUCCGGAAUGAUUGGGCGUAAAGGGCGCGUAGGCGGCCCGGUAAGUCUGGAGUGAAAGUCCUGCUUUUAAGGUGGGAAUUGCUUUGGAUACUGUCGGGCUUGAGUGCAGGAGAGGUAAGUGGAAUUCCCAGUGUAGCGGUGAAAUGCGUAGAGAUUGGGAGGAACACCAGUGGCGAAGGCGACUUACUGGACUGUAACUGACGCUGAGGCGCGAAAGUGUGGGGAGCAAACAGGAUUAGAUACCCUGGUAGCCCACGCCGUAAACGAUGAAUACUAGGUGUUGGGAGGAACUAUCCUUUCGGUGCCGCAGCAAACGCAAUAAGUAUUCCACCUGGGGAGUACGUUCGCAAGAAUGAAACUUAAAGGAAUUGACGGGG